This 164-nucleotide ribosomal RNA is filed under the name Fusarium sporotrichioides. RNAcentral's name for it is "partial 28S ribosomal RNA". It matches the Rfam family "Eukaryotic large subunit ribosomal RNA", at positions 1 to 153 of the family's 3401-position model. The record is from RNAcentral. Lineage: Eukaryota; Fungi; Ascomycota; Sordariomycetes; Hypocreales; Nectriaceae.
AACUUCUGAAUGUUGACCUCGGAUCAGGUAGGAAUACCCGCUGAACUUAAGCAUAUCAAUAAGCGGAGGAAAAGAAACCAACAGGGAAUUGCCCUAGUAACGGCGAGUGAAGCGGCAACGGCUCAAAUUUAAAAUAUGGCUCUCGGGCCCGAGUUGUAAUUUGU